Molecule: long non-coding RNA, 753 nt
Filed under: Marmota monax (woodchuck)
Lineage: Eukaryota; Metazoa; Chordata; Mammalia; Rodentia; Sciuridae
Source: RNAcentral
ACAUAGUUAAAUAGUUCUGUGCCACAAAUCCAUCUCAUAGUAAGUCUCACAAGUCUGGGAACCCAACUGUAGUUGCUUCUCCCAGCUUCAGAGUAGGUAAUUGGAAUAGAUAUUCUUGGAAUUUGGUGGAUGUCCACAUUGACUUUCUAAAUCAUGGAGUUUAAGGCCAUUAUGUAAGGGAAGGUCAAGAGGAAAACUUGGAAUUUCUACUCCUAUGCCGAAUUAUAUACAAAGUAGUAUACAAACAACAGAAAUACAAACAGUGGCUAGGGCAUAGCUCAGUGAUAGAGUCAGUGCUUAGCAUGUGCAAGGCCCUGGUUUCGAUCCCCAACACCAAGAAAGAAAGAAAAGAAGGAAGGAAGAAAUUAGGAAAAGAUCUCACCAGAGGAUAGCAACAAAGAAAUUACUUAAAAGAAUAAAAUAGAUAUUUUAGAGUUGAAAAGUACAAUAACUGAAAUGAAAAAUUUACUAGAGAUGUUCAGUAGCAAAUUUGAAGGGGCAUAAUAAAGAUAAGUGAACUUGAAGAUUAUCCACACUGAGAAAGAAAGAUUUUUUUAAAUGAAGAAAAAUGAACAGGGUCUAGGAGACUUUUAGGACACCGUAAAGCAGAGCCACUUAUUCAUAAGGGGAGUUCCAGAAGGGAAAAGAAAGGGCCAGGACAUAGAUUAGUGUUUGCCAAGUAUUGAGGGUGUAUGGCGAGUGGGUACAGGGUUUCUUCUGAAAUGAUAAACGUGUUCUGGAAUUAGAUGGUAG